UUUUUUUUUUUUUUCCAUGCAUUGUGAACUUUAUGUUUGGGAAGCAAAGGAAGCACUUUCUUUGGGUCUUCUAUUCUCCCGAUGAUGCUCCAUGGAAAUUGUUAAGAAUUAUCUACGCAUAUAAUCUGCCUGUAGUGCUUCCUUAUAUUCCACAAUGAGGAAUAAAUCAGGAAAUACUAAGUGGCCUCCACAACAAUGGCCAUGCCAAAAGUUAAGCAUCAACUUUAUAACUAACAAAUUAUGUGAACCAGUCCAAAGACCUUUCCCUGCUCCUUCCCCAUGAGUACCCCCAAACAAUUGCUGAAGCUUAAUGGUACUUAUCCUCUCUAUGUCACUUCCCUAGCACCUUCCUCCGUAAAGAAUCAACUUUGUGAUCAUUUUCCUAACAAUGCUCUAUAAGAAGUAACAACUUUUAGCUCCCAACCUCUUUUGUUGAGUGCCUUCCUCUUCACCAAAUGGCCUUUAUACUUAUCAUCUAAGCCACCCUAGACUUGCUUCUUUGCCAUUUUCACUCCUUGCUGUAUUUUGCUUUCAGUUUGAGAUGCUUUUACCCUAAAGCAGAAUUAGCAUUGACGUAAAGUAUCAUUGCUACUAGGUGGCUUCUGCCACCUCCUAAAUUUACUUCCUUGAUGGUUCAUCUUAUUAUAAGUGUUUUCUUUUACUGCAGAGUGAAUUUCACUAUUUUACAUGUAGCUGUCUGUCAAAUGUGGCUAUUGAAUUUGCAUUCACUGUCUUGGCAUCCUUGAAUUUCUUAAAAUGCAGGCCCCAGCUAACAAUUGCUACAU
This 785-nucleotide unclassified non-coding RNA is filed under the name Hevea brasiliensis (rubber tree). Lineage: Eukaryota; Viridiplantae; Streptophyta; Magnoliopsida; Malpighiales; Euphorbiaceae. The record is from RNAcentral.